GAUGUUCACGUUGCUAAUUGCCGAGGUCCUCUUCUAGGAUUGGUUGUCCACUCAUAACCAUAAGAUAAUUAAAACGGGGGGGGGCAGGGUAAAAAAAAAACCCUUUUAUCAGCCAUAGGUUAAUGCAAGUGUUUAACAGAUGCUUCGCUAUUAAAAUAUUUCCCCCCAAUACUGAAGAAUCUUAAACCAGCAACCCUAACAGAGAUUGCGAAGAUUUUCAAAGUGGGGCACCUCGAUUUCUCGAAUCUGUGGUGUGGCGAAUAUCCGUGUUCCUCCUGCUUAACUAGCCUGUUUGAAGGCACAGUUCAUUCUCGAGCAAUUCGUCACCUCCUGGGGGUCUUCUCUUCCCGUCUACAGGAGAGUGUGACUUCAGAAAGAACUUCGGAUUGGCCAAGGCAGGUCUGAUUCUAUUUAUUCUAAAGACAGAGUUGGAGAUGGGCUACCAUUGGUGUUGAUUGAGAUGACAAGCAGUCACCUGAGCCCAUACAGCUGGUAAGUAGAACAGUACUGGAGAGAUGGCUCAGCAGUUAAGAGCACUGACUGCUCUUCCAGAGAUCCUGAGUUCAAUUCCCAGCAACCACAUGGUGGCUCACAAACAUCUGUAAUGAGAUCAGGUGCCCUCUUCUGGUGCCUUUGAAGACAAAGACAGUGUAGUGUCAUAUAUAUAAAAUAAAUAAAUCUUUAGAAAUUUGAAAAUAAUUUUAUGCUGUUUCAUUACAUUAACCAUUUUUUAAAAUAAUAGCCAGAAUGAAUGGAGUAAAGAAGUGGGGAUUCCUAGGGAUGCUGGGAAGGAAUUAAAAGAAACCACAUACAUUCAAAUAUGCAACAAUACUAGAUCAAUGGUGUAGUCCUUGUCUAGCGUGCACAAGAUCCUGGGUUCAGUCCCUAGAACAAAGCCAAAACCAGCAGGAAGUCAAACAGCUUAAAGGGAGAGAACUCACACACAUUGAGCACACAUUGUAUCCUACAUUCUUUACAUGCAUUAUCCUCUUUGCUUGUUUGUUUGUCUUUUGGUUUUUCAAAUCACAGUUUCUCUGUGUAGCUCUGACUCCUGGAACUAGCUCUGUAGAGUAGGCUGGCCUGGAACUCACAGUGAUCUGCCUGCCUCUGCCUCCUGAGUGCUGGGGUUAAAGGCGCUCACCACCAUUACCUGGGCAUAUUAUCUUUUUAAUAUGUAUAGUGCUUGACAUGCAGGAGCAGAUUUCACACAGAAGGCAAUUGAGGUCCAGAGAUGUUAAGUAACUUGUCCAAAUACAUUAUUAUUAGCAUGUGGAAUUUAAAAUAAAAGUAGCUGAUAUUAAAAAUGCAUGUCCAAGUGCUGCGAACAAAACACCACAAAUUGAGUAUGAAAUACUUCUUGCAAAUUUUUACUCUAAAUUUGAUCUCUGGAUUUGGCUAAAAACUAACCCACAACAAAAUAGAAUACUAAUAAAUACGAAAAGAACUUGGAUUGCUCAUGCUACACAAGUGGGAAUUUGAGCUCUGAUACUGUCUGGUGUUUAGUUUAGUGGUUUCUUAAAAUACAAAACAGAACAAAACACCAAUCCCCCCAAAAUAAAACAAAAUAAAAACAAAAACAAAACAAAAACAUAAACAAAACCCCAAAAGCAAGCAAGCAAGCAAGCAAGCAAACAAGCAAGCAAGCAGCAAGCAAGCAAGCAAGCAAGCAAGCAAGCAGACAAACCCCCAAAACUAGACAUGGCUUGGCAUCGUGCUUCUGAGUAUUUUCCUCCAGAUAAAUAAAUACUCAAGUUCACAUCAAAUGUUCAUAACAGCUUUAUUUGUAAUAGCCAAUAACUACUCAGGUGUCCUUCAGUGGGUAAACUAACUGUUAGCCAUUCUACUAACAUUUAAGCUACCACUAUUAAUCACAAUGCAUCCAUACUAUGAAAUACUGCUGAACAGUUAGAGGCAGCAAACCACUGAUGUGCAAAUGAAUCUUUAGGGAACUAGACUGGGUGAACAAAAGGUUCUACUUGACGUCCUUACUUUUUCUCCGUUUCCAUUGUGCGAAUGUGUAUUUUAAUGGCUGUCUUGCAUGGUUGUUAUACAGUUGCGUGUGCGAGGUUGAUGUUAGGAAUCCUCCUUGGUAGUUCUUCUAACUUAUUCUUAUUCUUGGAGUCGGUUUUUUUUUUUUUUUUUUUGUCAAACCCAGGGUUCACAGAUGUGGCUAGUCUUGCUAGCCAGCUCGCACUGUGGACAUUCUAGGGAACUGACUGCAGUCCUCAUGCUUGGAGUCAAACACUUUAACCACUGCACACGUUUAUGUAAUAGGAUUGACAUAUGAGAAUCAGAGAAAUGAAUGAAAGAUUAGAGGUAAGCAAGAGCCAAGUAAUAGUGGAGGUGAGAGGGGGAAGUGGGCGUGACUGUGUGAGAGGGGGAAGUGGGCGUGACUGUGUGAGAGGGGGAAGUGGGCGUGGCCGCGUGAGAGGGGGGAAGUGGGCGUGGCCGCGUGAGAGGGGGAAGUGGGCGUGGCUGUGUGAGAGGGGGAAGUGGGCGUGACUACAAAAGGACAGCAAUGGAUUCCAGGCUCAAAGCAAACAAUUUGUAUUUAGCUGUGGCAGAACUGAUAACCUAGUUGUGAUAUUGUGUAACAGCACUGCUAAAGCUGGGUAAGAAGAUUGAAAGAUCUCUAUUUUUUUUUUAAUUGCUGCAUGAGAACAUUCAAAAAGCUUAACAAAAGGUCAGUGGAUAUUCUAGGAAGUCAAUCCCAUACUUUCUAGAACUAGAGUCUAGACCAGAAAGUAUUCUAGUCUAGAGUCAGACUGGGGGAAGGAUAGGAGUGUGAAUAAGUCUGACAUUUUCUAACCUUAAGAAAGAGUCUCAGGUCAUUUAUCAAACUAGUCUGAUUUUUUUUUUAAUCUCUGAAUUUUAUUAUGGAUUAUAGAUCUAUUUGGGAAAAGAUUUGGGGAAAGACAAGAAGCCAUCUCUUGUUAGGGGACUUUUUCUUUGCAUAGAACUUUAAAAUUGAUGAGCUGAUUGAACUAUACAUUAGAAGACAAAACUAGAGUUCCUUAGACCAAUAAUUUAUUUCUAAAGUUUUUUUGUUUUGAUUAGUCUCAUCUUCUGACUUACUAAAACUCCUUCCUUUUUCUUUUAUUCUCUUUGAAUCUGUAUUUCCAUGUUGUACUGAUUCAGUGGGAGAAAGUGCUUGCUGCCAAGCUUGAUGACCUAAAUUGAAUACCUGGAACCUACACGACAGAAAGAGAGAGCUGACUGCUGAAAGAUGUCCUCAGAUCUUCACAUGUGCACAGUGGCACCUAUCCAACCAUGCACAUAGUAUAUUAAAAAUUAUUUUUUAAAAAA
RNAcentral lists this long non-coding RNA (3306 nucleotides) under Mus musculus (house mouse). Its description in RNAcentral is "Hand2, opposite strand 1". Lineage: Eukaryota; Metazoa; Chordata; Mammalia; Rodentia; Muridae. The record is from RNAcentral.